Molecule: ribosomal RNA, 301 nt
Filed under: uncultured bacterium
Lineage: Bacteria
Description: partial 16S ribosomal RNA
Rfam family: Bacterial small subunit ribosomal RNA
Source: RNAcentral
CAGCAGCCGCGGUAAUACAGAGGGUGCGAGCGUUAAUCGGAAUUACUGGGCGUAAAGCGUGCGCAGGCGGUUUUGUAAGACAGAGGUGAAAUCCCCGGGCUCAACCUGGGAACUGCCUUUGUGACUGCAAGGCUAGAGUACGGCAGAGGGGGAUGGAAUUCCGCGUGUAGCAGUGAAAUGCGUAGAUAUGCGGAGGAACACCGAUGGCGAAGGCAAUCCCCUGGGCCUGUACUGACGCUCAUGCACGAAAGCGUGGGGAGCAAACAGGAUUAGAGACCCCCGUAGUCCCUGUCUCUUAUAC